Molecule: ribosomal RNA, 443 nt
Filed under: uncultured bacterium
Lineage: Bacteria
Description: partial 16S ribosomal RNA
Rfam family: Bacterial small subunit ribosomal RNA
Source: RNAcentral
CCUACGGGUGGCAGCAGUGGGGAAUAUUGGGCAAUGGGCGCAAGCCUGACCCAGCAACGCCGCGUGAAGGAAGAAGGCCCUCGGGUUGUAAACUUCUUUUAUUCGGGACGAAACAAAUGACGGUACCGAAUGAAUAAGCCACGGCUAACUACGUGCCAGCAGCCGCGGUAAUACGUAGGUGGCAAGCGUUAUCCGGAUUUACUGGGUGUAAAGGGCGUGUAGGCGGGAAAGCAAGUCAGAUGUGAAAACUCAGGGCUCAACCCUGAGCCUGCAUUUGAAACUGUUUUUCUUGAGUGCUGGAGAGGCAAUCGGAAUUCCGUGUGUAGCGGUGAAAUGCGUAGAUAUACGGAGGAACACCAGUGGCGAAGGCGGAUUGCUGGACAGUAACUGACGCUGAGGCGCGAAAGCGUGGGGAGCAAACAGGAUUAGAUACCCUUGUAGUC